This 254-nucleotide ribosomal RNA is filed under the name uncultured bacterium. RNAcentral's name for it is "partial 16S ribosomal RNA". It matches the Rfam family "Bacterial small subunit ribosomal RNA", at positions 524 to 776 of the family's 1533-position model. The record is from RNAcentral.
CACGUAGGGUGCGGGCGUUGCCCGGAAUUAUUGGGCGUAAAGAGCUCGUAGGCGGUGUGUCGCGUCGGCCGUGAAAACCUGCAGCUUAACUGUGGGCUUGCGGUCGAUACGGGCAUCACUGGAGUUCGGCAGGGGAGACUGGAAUUCCUGGUGUAGCGGUGAAAUGCGCAGAUAUCAGGAGGAACACCGGUGGCGAAGGCGGGUCUCUGGGCCGAUACUGACGCUGAGGAGCGAAAGCGUGGGGAGCGAACAGG